RNAcentral lists this ribosomal RNA (253 nucleotides) under uncultured bacterium. Its description in RNAcentral is "partial 16S ribosomal RNA". It matches the Rfam family "Bacterial small subunit ribosomal RNA", at positions 524 to 776 of the family's 1533-position model. The record is from RNAcentral.
UACGUAGGGGGCAAGCGUUGUCCGGAUUUAUUGGGCGUAAAGAGCGUGUAGGCGGCCAUACAGGUCCGUUGUGAAAACUGGAGGCUUAACCUCCAGACGUCGAUGGAAACCGUAUGGCUAGAGUCCGGAAGAGGAGAGUGGAAUUCCGGGUGUAGUGGUGGAAUGCGUAGAGAUCCGGAGGAACACCAGCGGCGAAGGCGGCAUCCUGGACUGGUCCUGACACUCAGGAGCGAAAGCGUGGGGAGCGAUCCGG